RNAcentral lists this ribosomal RNA (609 nucleotides) under uncultured bacterium. RNAcentral describes it as "bacterial SSU rRNA". The stretch from base 1 to 518 matches the Rfam family "Bacterial small subunit ribosomal RNA", at positions 338 to 873 of the family's 1533-position model. The record is from RNAcentral.
CCUACGGGAGGCAGCAGUGGGGAAUAUUGGACAAUGGGCGAAAGCCUGAUCCAGCAAUGCCGCGUGAGUGAUGAAGGCCUUAGGGUUGUAAAGCUCUUUUACCAGGGAUGAUAAUGACAGUACCUGGAGAAUAAGCUCCGGCUAACUCCGUGCCAGCAGCCGCGGUAAUACGGAGGGAGCUAGCGUUGUUCGGAAUUACUGGGCGUAAAGCGUACGUAGGCGGUUAUUCAAGUCAGAGGUGAAAGCCUGGAGCUCAACUCCAGAACUGCCUUUGAAACUAGAUAGCUAGAAUCUUGGAGAGGUGAGUGGAAUUCCGAGUGUAGAGGUGAAAUUCGUAGAUAUUCGGAAGAACACCAGUGGCGAAGGCGACUCACUGGACAAGUAUUGACGCUGAGGUACGAAAGCGUGGGGAGCAAACAGGAUUAGAUACCCUGGUAGUCCACGCCGUAAACGAUGAUAACUAGCUGUUCGGGCUCUACGAGCUUGAGUGGCGCAGCUACGACAUUAAGUUAUCCGUCCGUCGGGAGGUACGGUCGCGAAGAAUUAAAACUAACAAAGAAAGUUAGACGGCGUGAGACGUGCCGAACGGACGACGACGAGGGAGGUAGG